GAUGAACGCUGGCGGCGUGCCUAACACAUGUAAGUCGAACGGUGAACCUCGCUUUAUAGUGAGGGGAUCAGUGGCGAACGGGUGAGUAACACGUAGGUGACCUGCCCCAAAGAGGAGAAUAACUGUGCGAAAGUGCAGCUAAUACUCCAUGUGAUCGGUCAUUCGCUUGGCCGAUUAAAGCUCCGGCGCUUUGGGAGGGGCCUGCGGCCCAUCAGCUAGUUGGUAGGGUAAUGGCCUACCAAGGCUAUGACGGGUAGCUGGUCUGAGAGGACGAUCAGCCACAAUGGCACUGAAAUACGGGCCAUACUCCUACGGGAGGCAGCAGUGAGGAAUAUUGGACAAUCAACGAAAGUUGGAUCCAGCAACGCCGCGUGGACGAUGAAGGCCUUCGGGUUGUAAAGUCCUUUUAAGAGGGAAGAGGAAGGACGGUACCUCUUGAACAAGUCUCGGCUAACUACGUG
This 461-nucleotide ribosomal RNA is filed under the name uncultured bacterium. RNAcentral's name for it is "bacterial SSU rRNA". It matches the Rfam family "Bacterial small subunit ribosomal RNA", at positions 28 to 507 of the family's 1533-position model. The record is from RNAcentral.